Molecule: unclassified non-coding RNA, 451 nt
Filed under: Stipa offneri
Lineage: Eukaryota; Viridiplantae; Streptophyta; Magnoliopsida; Poales; Poaceae
Description: partial external transcribed spacer
Source: RNAcentral
CAUGAGUUGUCUUGGACCCGUGACUGCCGGUAGGACCCCCGGCCCGUUGUGCGGCCGACUGCCGGCGCCUGUGUCCCAUCAAUGUUGCGGCUGUAACCGUACCGCUCUCUCGACAAGUGCUUGCAUGCUGGUACCCGACCCACGGGAAGUGGUGAUUCGUACACGGUUGCCUCACGGCGGGCGCCCCUAGGGCGUGCCGCUGUGGCCUAGUAGCGCUUGCGGCGUUGCCUCGUUGCUCCGGCAUCCUACGUGCCCGGUGCUUCCAAGGCCACCUCGCUCGCGCUCUUGGUCUCGGAUGUCGCACACGAUAAAGGCUCGUUGCCCUCCGCGGUCACGUCCCUACCGAAAGCUCACCCGAUGCACGACAGUCGGCCCGGUUCCCGCCGCUGCCAUGCCACACGCUGGCUGGCGCGUGCGAGUCCCGGCGUCGGCUCGUCGACGAGGACGUGCU